Molecule: non-coding RNA, 105 nt
Organism: Moritella viscosa
Lineage: Bacteria; Pseudomonadati; Pseudomonadota; Gammaproteobacteria; Alteromonadales; Moritellaceae
Source: Rfam
CACAUAUAGUCGGGGGGCCUAAUAGGCUGAGAUCGCAUAUUUAUUGCGAGACCCGUUGAACCUGAUUCAGUUAACACUGACGUAGAGAACUAUCGAUCUUGCUUC